This 444-nucleotide ribosomal RNA is filed under the name Chlorociboria spiralis. RNAcentral describes it as "eukaryotic LSU rRNA". The stretch from base 138 to 291 matches the Rfam family "5.8S ribosomal RNA". The record is from RNAcentral. Lineage: Eukaryota; Fungi; Ascomycota; Leotiomycetes; Helotiales; Chlorociboriaceae.
CAUUACCGAGCGCGCGCCCCUCGGGGCCGGUCUCCCCCCGUGAGAACCAACCCGUGUUGCUUUGGCGGGAGAGCGCUCCCGCCAGAGGCCCUAACCCCGUCCUCUCAGUGUCGUCCGAGCCUGUACAUAAUCGUGAAAACUUUCAACAACGGAUCUCUUGGCUCUGGCAUCGAUGAAGAACGCAGCGAAAUGCGAUAAGUAAUGUGAAUUGCAGAAUCUAGUGAAUCAUCGAAUCUUUGAACGCACAUUGCGCCCUAUGGUAUUCCGUAGGGCAUGCCUGUCCGAGCGUCAUUGCACCCCUCAAGCCUGGCUUGGUCUUGGGCGCCGCCCCCCGGGGCGGGCCUCAAACGCAGUGGCGGCUCCCCCGGGGCCCGCGCGUGGUGAUACGUCGCGAUGGGGCCCAGGGGCGCCGGCCAGCCUAACCCUUCCACCGGUUGACCUCGG